Equus caballus (horse) is the source of this 2667-nucleotide non-coding RNA. NCBI's taxonomy places the organism in Eukaryota, Metazoa, Chordata, Mammalia, Perissodactyla, Equidae. The record is from RefSeq and is a predicted model, not a curated record.
UCCUCAGCGGAGUCUCCCAAGAGCCCGUCACGAGGCCCAGUCAUUUCCUCAUUGCGCAGAAGGGGAAGCUGAGGCUCAGGGCCUCCCCUGCAGUCGCCAGCUAGAGAGAGGCUGAGCAUCGCCCAGGACCCCUGUCUCUCCGGCCCGGGGUCAUUCUGCCCAGUGUCCCACAUUGCAACCUCCUGGAGCUCAGGGCUCCUGUCUCUCCUGGGGCCUGCCCCAUUCUGGCCUCCAGCCCUCACUGAACUCGAGGCCCAGGGCCAUCCCGUUUGCCUGGGGCUGGGGUGGUGACCAGGUUGGCCAGCCACAGACACUGUGGGCUCUCCGAGGACCAGGACCAGCCUAUCCCCCCACAGGAUGAGGUCUCUCUGGGCACCAGCACCAAAGAUUGUCAGGACUUUAGGGAUAAGAGGUCGUUCCUGGUCAGGGGGGCCAUGGGGCCUAACAGGCACUGGCUUCCAGUCCUGGCUCUGCUCCUCUGUUGGGCACAGAGGGACCCAGUCUCUUUAAGCCUCGCUUUCCUCAUCAGUGAAUUGAAGGCCAGAAUCCCUCAUGCCCCACUGGGCUGCCAGGAGGAUUCGGAGAGACAGCUCAUGUGGCGAACAGAGGUGUGGUCCGAGCUCAUGCCCAGGAGCCGAUCCUGCUGACGUCACCCCCAGGAGAGCCCCUGAGGCCCUUGGCCUCUGCCCACUCUGUUCUCCCACCAGGCAUGCCCAACUCGCUCUGACUCCUUUGUUCCUCUGGAAUAACUUUCUCCACCCCAUCCGGUGCCAUGACGGUCUGCCAGUCCGGGUGGGAUCCAGGCCCCCGGCCCAGUUCUCCUCCUGGGAUUCCUCAUCAUGGGAGUUAGUAGCUGUGGAGCUCUUCAAAGGAGCAGCCACUCCAAGUGCAGCCUCCGUGAACUUGUCUCACACCACCACGGCAGGCUCACAGCAGAGAAGGAGACCUCGAAGGUCAGAGAGUGACCGACAGCGGAACACCGUGUUGACAUCAUGCACCAGAAUCUCCCCCUCUGGGGAUAUGUCCUCCAGGAUCAGAGAUUGAGGGAGGCUGAUGUUCCCCUCAGCGUGAGGAGGGGAGAGGAAAGUCAGAAACGGGGCACGUUCCACAUCGGGGCCAUUUGGAAAUUCGGAAGCCGGGAUAUCCAAAAGGAAGAGUGUUGUCUGACCAGGGUCCGCCCCUGAAGAAAUCAGAUCCAGAGGAGCACACGCCCUGCAGGCCUCCGCACUCAGCACCCACAGGAUGCACGCACUCUCAUGCACACACCGGCAUAUCCAUGUGCACACACGCAGCACAGGUGUGAACAUGCAUCACCCCACACACAUGCACCCCCGCGCACGGGCACACGGGCACACACACACACAUGCCCGCGCGCACACACAUGUGGACACCAAGGGAAAGGACUGGAAAGGUGAAGACCACCUGUGAAGGGCACUCCUGAGUUGCCGCUUCCUUAAUUCUUCAGUCUCUUAAAAUUCAUUCUUUUACUACAAUAAACGUUCAUUGUCUUGGAACAGAAAUCUUCAAAAAUAGAAACUAAAGAAUGUACUUUAUUCCAAAGGUGGAUCAUCAAUGGAUUUCAUUGAAGCUGUGAUAUUCACCUUUUUAGAAUUAGGAAAGGAAUACACGCACAUUCUAAGAAGUUUCAACAUCCCACCGGGAGCAGAUGAGAGACUGGAAAGUCGCGAGCCCCGUGAACAGUUUGGUGCAUAUCUCCCUGGCGCGGUUGCUCUCAUUCUGUCUCCUUCUGUCUGUCUCUCUCUCACACGCACAUUCAUUUUCAUAGAUGUCUGUCUCCCUGUUGAUGUCACAUAUCCGUGUUCUGACGGAUGGGCCGCAUGGGUCCCAUUGCCUCUCCAUGAACCUGAGUUGUGUUCCCAGCUCCCAGCCAUUGCAACCAGUGCUGUCAUGACUACUCUUGAAAAGAUAUCUUGGAAACCUUGGGCAAGACCUCCUGUGGGCCACACUCCUGGCAUUCGCACUGCCAGCAAAGGUGGGGUCCUGGGGAACUUGGAAGGGUCCUGCAGGCUAUUCUCCCAGAGAGCAGUGCCCUUUCCCCCUGCUCUCUAGGGAUCUACGGGGGCCUCUGCUUCCCCAAAUUCUCACCAGGGCUGGCCGCAACCAGACCAGAAACGUGCCAGUCUGCUUGUGACCAAUGCCGUCUCCAUGGUGUUUACGUUUGCACGUGUCCUCUAGGGGGAGGUCGAGCAUCUCUGACAUGCCGUCGCCUCUCGGGGGAAUUGCAUGUGUUUACUCUCUGUCCCUUGAAAACAACGACUUUCGGGAGUUCUUUGGUCCAGAGGGAGGUUGCACCUUUCUCUCACCUUGGUUUAGGAGGAAUGCUUUCGAGGUUCUGGUUUGUCUUUCCAGCUGUCUCCCUUUUUCUUGUUUGUGUUUUGGCCACAGGAAGAACCAGGCACUUCCUGUGUGGCUUGUGGCUCUGGUGUCCCCCUUAGAAGAGCGGUCUGUAGCCUGACAUAAUGCACAUGUUUACUAAAAGGGCUUCAUUUGAAGCAUCUAAUCCAUAAGCCUUUGGGACUUUCCUAUCAGCUGGGAAAAAUGCUAUUCAAGUAGAAAGAGAAAUGAAAAAUCGAUCAGUGCUUCUGAAAAUAUGGAAGCACACUAGGAUGGCCACCUAUUGCAUGACACCGCUUAUCGGAUACAUCC